Molecule: ribosomal RNA, 1376 nt
Filed under: uncultured bacterium
Lineage: Bacteria
Description: bacterial SSU rRNA
Rfam family: Bacterial small subunit ribosomal RNA
Source: RNAcentral
GAUGAACUCUGGCGGCGUGCCUAAUACAUGCAAGUCGAGCGAACAGAUAAGGAGCUUGCUCCUUUGACGUUAGCGGCGGACGGGUGAGUAACACGUGGGUAACCUACCUAUAAGACUGGGAUAACUUCGGGAAACCGGAGCUAAUACCGGAUAAUAUUUCGAACCGCAUGGUUCGAUAGUGAAAGAUGGUUUUGCUAUCACUUAUAGAUGGACCCGCGCCGUAUUAGCUAGUUGGUAAGGUAACGGCUUACCAAGGCGACGAUACGUAGCCGACCUGAGAGGGUGAUCGGCCACACUGGAACUGAGACACGGUCCAGACUCCUACGGGAGGCAGCAGUAGGGAAUCUUCCGCAAUGGGCGAAAGCCUGACGGAGCAACGCCGCGUGAGUGAUGAAGGUCUUCGGAUCGUAAAACUCUGUUAUUAGGGAAGAACAUACGUGUAAGUAACUGUGCACGUCUUGACGGUACCUAAUCAGAAAGCCACGGCUAACUACGUGCCAGCAGCCGCGGUAAUACGUAGGUGGGCAGCGUUAUCCGGAAUUAUUGGGCGUAAAGCGCGCGUAGGCGGUUUUUUUAAGUCUGAUGUGAAAGCCCACGGCUCAACCGUGGAGGGUCAUUGGAAACUGGAAAACUUGCGUGCAGAAGAGGAAAGUGGAAUUCCGUGUGUAGCGGUGAAAGUGCGCAUAGAUAUGGAGGAACACCGGUGAGCGGAAGGCGACUUUCUGGUCAGUAACUGACGCUGAUGUGCGAAAGCGUGGGGAUCAAACAGGAUUACAUACCCUGGUAGUCCACGCCGUAAACGAUGAGUGCUAAGUGUUAGGGGGUUUCCGCCCCUUAGUGCUGCAGCUAACGCAUUAAGCACUCCGCCUGGGGAGUACGACCGCAAGGUUGAAACUCAAAGGAAUUGACGGGGACCCGCACAAGCGGUGGAGCAUGUGGUUUAAUUCGAAGCAACGCGAAGAACCUUACCAAAUCUUGACAUCCUUUGACAACUCUAGAGAUAGAGCUUUCCCCUUCGGGGGACAAAGUGACAGGUGGUGCAUGGUUGUCGUCAGCUCGUGUCGUGAGAUGUUGGGUUAAGUCCCGCAACGAGCGCAACCCUUAAGCUUAGUUGCCAUCAUUAAGUUGGGCACUCUAAGUUGACUGCCGGUGACAAACCGGAGGAAGGUGGGGAUGACGUCAAAUCAUCAUGCCCCUUAUGAUUUGGGCUACACACGUGCUACAAUGGACAAUACAAAGGGUAGCGAAACCGCGAGGUCAAGCAAAUCCCAUAAAGUUGUUCUCAGUUCGGAUUGUAGUCUGCAACUCGACUACAUGAAGCUGGAAUCGCUAGUAAUCGUAGAUCAGCAUGCUACGGUGAAUACGUUCCCGGGUCU